UACGUAGGGUGCGAGCGUUAAUCGGAAUUACUGGGCGUAAAGCGUGCGCAGGCGGUUGUGUAAGACAGAUGUGAAAUCCCCGGGCUCAACCUGGGAACUGCAUUUGUGACUGCACGGCUGGAGUGCGGCAGAGGGGGAUGGAAUUCCGCGUGUAGCAGUGAAAUGCGUAGAGAUGUGGAGGAAUACCAAUGGCGAAGGCAGCCCCCUGGGUCAAUACUGACGCUCAUGCACGAAAGCGUGGGGAGCAAACAGG
RNAcentral lists this ribosomal RNA (253 nucleotides) under uncultured bacterium. RNAcentral's name for it is "partial 16S ribosomal RNA". It matches the Rfam family "Bacterial small subunit ribosomal RNA", at positions 524 to 776 of the family's 1533-position model. The record is from RNAcentral.